RNAcentral lists this ribosomal RNA (497 nucleotides) under uncultured bacterium. RNAcentral describes it as "partial 16S ribosomal RNA". It matches the Rfam family "Bacterial small subunit ribosomal RNA", at positions 28 to 507 of the family's 1533-position model. The record is from RNAcentral.
GAUGAACGCUGGCGGCGUGCCUAAUACAUGCGAGUCGAGCGAACGGACGAGAAGCUUGCUUUUCUGAUGUUAGCGGCGGACGGGUGAGUAACACGUGGAUAACCUACCUAUAAGACUGGGAUAACUUCGGGAAACCGGAGCUAAUACCGGAUAAUAUUUUUAACCGCAUGGUUCAAUAGUGAAAGACGGUCUUGCUGUCACUUAUAGAUGGAUCCGCGCUGCAUUAGCUAGUUGGUAAGGUAACGGCUUACCAAGGCAACGAUGCAUAGCCGACCUGAGAGGGUGAUCGGCCACACUGGAACUGAGACACGGUCCAGACUCCUACGGGAGGCAGCAGUAGGGAAUCUUCCGCAAUGGGCGAAAGCCUGACGGAGCAACGCCGCGUGAGUGAUGAAGGUCUUCGGAUCGUAAAACUCUGUUAUUAGGGAAGAACAUAUGUGUAAGUAACUGUGCACAUCUUGACGGUACCUAAUCAGAAAGCCACGGCUAACUACGUG